Molecule: ribosomal RNA, 253 nt
Filed under: uncultured bacterium
Lineage: Bacteria
Description: partial 16S ribosomal RNA
Rfam family: Bacterial small subunit ribosomal RNA
Source: RNAcentral
UACGUAGGGCGCAAGCGUUAUCCGGAAUUAUUGGGCGUAAAGAGCUCGUAGGCGGUUUGUCGCGUCUGCCGUGAAAGGCCGGGGCUCAACUCCGGAUCUGCGGUGGGUACGGGCAGACUAGAGUGAUGUAGGGGAGACUGGAAUUCCUGGUGUAGCGGUGAAAUGCGCAGAUAUCAGGAGGAACACCGAUGGCGAAGGCAGGUCUCUGGGCAUUAACUGACGCUGAGGAGCGAAAGCAUGGGGAGCGAACAGG